GGAUAUGAGGGCGAUCUGGCUACAGCAUCUGUCACCUCAUUGAUUGGGUUGAUCUGAUGAAUCUGGCUGGCUAGGUGGGUGGCCCCUUCCUCCCCCACUACCUUAUGUGAGUCCCUCCUGAUGCUGCCAGCUGGGUGGAAGAGGAUCACGCUUCCCGAUGGAGGAGAAUAUUUAUUUGGUCAAAGUCUAAGAGUACCUGUGCUCCCCUGCUAAAAACUCUAAAACAAGCUCUCAAUACAAAAUAGCUCCUACUCCUUUUCUUUUCAUGGCACAAGUAGACUCUUGAAAUUCACAGGGGUUAUAUUCCUAGAACACCUGU
RNAcentral lists this small nuclear RNA (319 nucleotides) under Chinchilla lanigera (long-tailed chinchilla). RNAcentral's name for it is "7SK RNA (ENSCLAG00000021594.1)". It matches the Rfam family "7SK RNA", at positions 1 to 289 of the family's 331-position model. Rfam says of the family: 7SK was discovered as an abundant small nuclear RNA in the mid-70s but a possible function has only recently been suggested. Two independent studies have found that 7SK RNA binds the CDK9/cyclin T complex (known as elongation factor P-TEFb). P-TEFb activates transcription by phosphorylating the C-terminal domain of RNA polymerase II. The record is from Rfam by way of RNAcentral. Lineage: Eukaryota; Metazoa; Chordata; Mammalia; Rodentia; Chinchillidae.